This 350-nucleotide ribosomal RNA is filed under the name uncultured bacterium. Its description in RNAcentral is "bacterial SSU rRNA". It matches the Rfam family "Bacterial small subunit ribosomal RNA", at positions 1040 to 1387 of the family's 1533-position model. The record is from RNAcentral.
GCUGCAUGGCUGUCGUCAGCUCGUGUCGUGAGAUGUUGGGUUAAGUCCCGCAACGAGCGCAACCCUUGCCAUUAGUUGCUACAUUUAGUUGGGCACUCUAAUGAGACUGCCGGUGACAAACCGGAGGAAGGUGGGGAUGACGUCAAGUCCUCAUGGCCCUUAUAGGUGGGGCUACACACGUCAUACAAUGGCUGGUACAGAGGGUUGCCAACCCGCGAGGGGGAGCUAAUCCCAUAAAACCAGUCGUAGUCCGGAUCGCAGUCUGCAACUCGACUGCGUGAAGUCGGAAUCGCUAGUAAUCGCGGAUCAGCAUGCCGCGGUGAAUACGUUCACGGGUCUUGUACAACACG